Molecule: long non-coding RNA, 221 nt
Organism: Lolium rigidum
Lineage: Eukaryota; Viridiplantae; Streptophyta; Magnoliopsida; Poales; Poaceae
Exons: 2
Source: RefSeq, a predicted model, not a curated record
CUACGUCACCAUGACCGAUAACUGCUCCUCCUUCCAUGUAUCUUCUUUAGGGACUGUCCAAUGUAUAUGUUUACAAAGAUCAUUACACAAUGGCAAUUGAAGUCCACCUUCUCUUUUCAUAUUGACCGAGUGGUUCUUCUUCCCUGGUUUGUUCUAAUCUGCUGUAACAAUCUAUUACCUUAAAUCAAUGGGGUUACUCCCUUUAAAAUAUUAUUAUGCAC